This is a non-coding RNA of Cajanus cajan (pigeon pea), 850 nucleotides long. The record is from RefSeq and is a predicted model, not a curated record. Lineage: Eukaryota; Viridiplantae; Streptophyta; Magnoliopsida; Fabales; Fabaceae.
UCCAAUCCAAAUCCAAUCUUUCCAAAGUAGAGAAACUGAAUUCACAAUCUCAGAACCAGUUGGCCCAAGGAUUUCCCAUAGAAGGAGACCAACUACAUUCUUUAUCUAAGAAGGAUCCUGCCUUACUCAAUAAUGUGACAAGAACCGAGACGGAGUCAAAGUUGGAUACUGCUAAAGAUCCUGCUUAUUGGUCAAAGGUUUGCUUGUAUAAUAUGGCCAAAUUGGCAAAGGAAGCUUCAACUGUGCGGCGUGUCCUUGAACCACUUUUUAUAAUUUUGAUAUUGAUAACCACUGGUCUUCUGAAAAGGGAGUUUCUUCUUGUGUUUUGAUUUAUUUGCAAUCCCUUCUAGCAGAAUCAGGAGAUAACUCCCAUCUUCUACUAUCCAUUUUGGUCAAGCACUUGGAUCACAAGAAUGUUGCCAAGCAGCCUAUCCGUCAGAUUGAUAUUAUUAACACCACCACGCAGCUUGCACAAAAUGUGAAGCAGCAUACUUCAGUUGCAAUCGUUGGUGCAAUAUCUGACCUCAUUAAGCAUUUAAGGAGAUGCCUCCAAAAUUUAACUGAAGCAUCCAGCAUUGGAAAUGAUGCAGAUAGGUUGAAUUCUGAACUUCAGUCUGCCUUAGAAAUGUGUAUAUUACAACUUUAAAGCAAGAUGUUAGCUAGUGUUUAUAAUAAUACUCAGGAAACCAAUACACAACCAUAGAGCAUAACUACCAAAACAGAGGAAGGCAAUGCAGACAAAAUGCUUAAGUUCUGGAAACCAAUAUAAAACCGCAGUCCGUGGCUACUGUAAAGGAAGAUGAAGCUGACAAAAUGCAGAAGGUACUUUUGCUUCAAUUUUGAUUAUAAA